CUCGGCCCGACCUCUCGCCACCCAAAGUUUUAGCUGAGGGGAAAGUGGCCCGCGAGGCGCCGGCCGGUGGCGGCUCUGGCUCCGGACGCGCGGGCUCCCCUCGCCUUCCUCAAGUCCACCCUACCGGCUGCCGCCGCCGCUCCUGCCGCGGAGUCCUCGGGCUGCAGCCCCGGCGGCUCGCAAGUAACUAUUACAUUCAAAGAUUGUUCUACCUUCUUAAAUCAUAGAAGAAAACAAAGGAAGACAGCAGCCAUGGAGCUUUCGUUGCAGAUGAGAGGAGGACCAGGAUUUGGUUACCAGCACCCAUGUCCAGCAGCUUACACCAGAGCAUGCAACUCCCUCUUCUGGUCUUCGUGAGUACCCAAAACCUAGAGAAGCAUGUGCAUACACACACAGAAACACAGACACAUAAAAAGAAAAAGUAAAUCCUACAUAAAUUAACUAAAAUCAAACUUACAUCAUACCCCAAA
Long non-coding RNA from Acomys russatus (golden spiny mouse), 470 nucleotides. RefSeq lists it as uncharacterized. The record is from RefSeq and is a predicted model, not a curated record. Lineage: Eukaryota; Metazoa; Chordata; Mammalia; Rodentia; Muridae. The transcript is spliced from 3 exons.